RNAcentral lists this ribosomal RNA (567 nucleotides) under uncultured archaeon. RNAcentral describes it as "bacterial SSU rRNA". It matches the Rfam family "Archaeal small subunit ribosomal RNA", at positions 326 to 897 of the family's 1478-position model. The record is from RNAcentral.
CGGGGUGCACCAGGCGCGAAAACUUUACAAUGCGGGAAACCGUGAUAAGGGGACACCGAGUGCCAGCAUCAUAUGCUGGCUGUCCGGGUGUGUAAAAUACACCCGUUAGCAAGGGCCGGGCAAGACCGGUGCCAGCCGCCGCGGUAACACCGGCGGCCCGAGUGGUGAUCGUGAUUAUUGGGUCUAAAGGGUCCGUAGCCGGUUUGGUCAGUCCUCCGGGAAAUCUGACGACUCAACCGUUAGGCUUUCGGGGGAUACUGCCAGGCUUGGAACCGGGAGAGGUAAGAGGUACUACAGGGGUAGGAGUGAAAUCUUGUAAUCCCUGUGAGACCACCUGUGGCGAAGGCGUCUUACCAGAACGGGUUCGACGGUGAGGGACGAAAGCUGGGGGCACGAACCGGAUUAGAUACCCGGGUAGUCCCAGCCGUAAACGAUGCUCGCUAGGUGUCAGGCAUGGCGCGACCGUGUCUGGUGCCGCAGGGAAGCCGUGAAGCGAGCCACCUGGGAAGUACGGCCGCAAGGCUGAAACUUAAAGGAAUUGGCGGGGGAGCACAAGGGCGAAUCGCG